Numida meleagris (helmeted guineafowl) is the source of this 1906-nucleotide long non-coding RNA. The record is from Ensembl. Lineage: Eukaryota; Metazoa; Chordata; Aves; Galliformes; Numididae.
CUGGUGUCGUUUGGGUGAGCAUGAUAUAACAAAAUAAAAAAACAUCAUUUGUCACCAUUAGUCAUGCAUGGUGGGCCUGGAUUCUGAAGUGACAAACUACUUUGUGUUUCUCUAGUAACAGCUACAGAACAAGGGGCUUGUCUGUCACAAAAUAGUACUUCCAUAAACGAUCAGUCUGUGAAUUUGGGAGGCUGCCCAACAACCCACAUCACAACCAAAAUGCCUUGGACCUGCUUUUGAGGGAUGAUCAGGAUAGCAGAGAGAACCGCUUAUUCCUCCGCAUGCCCAGUGCUGAGAUGUCCAUUUGGGAUGUCAGAAAAUCCUAUCAGCUAGAAACUUCAGUGGCAAAAUAUUUCACCAAGCUGUGAUUCAAGCAUCACUGUAUGUGAUAGACUCUGAUAUGUUUGGAUCAAACAACAGUUUUGCCCAGGAUUUUCUAAGAUCCCAAAUAUGUGAGGUCUCUUUCAUGCAUCUAACCUUUCUCCUAGUGUCUUUGGCACGCCAGACUUCAUCUUCACUUUUCUCUUCUCUGAAGGUUUCACGCAACAUGUAAUAGAACCAGUGCAAACAGACCCAGAACACCACUUCCUGUUGCAAAUUUCUGAUGGAAUGCAUAUAUUGCUCUUACUGCCACCCAGGAUCUGUUGCCUAUUAUCCCCAGGAACACUGAAUGUCUCUCAGCUGUAUUUCAAAGGACAUUUGAAAACACAGGCCAGAAGUAUCUGUGGUGCCCUUUCAGACUCAAAGUCCUUGAUGUUCGCCUAUUGGUGCUAUGAGCACCAUCUCUCUUCAAAGCAGAGCUGGUGGUACACACAUCUUCUCAGCCUCAGAAGCUCAAGCCCUUGGAGGCACAAUGACCACGGCUACCCGUUUUUGCUCUUAUCAUCUCUCUUGCCUGUAAGUUGAGACAGUGGUUCUAUAAACUGCCACUUGUAUGGGCCUAUGAAUUUUACUGCAACAUUAAUACAAUGCACAGCUUUGAACCUCUUUUAGGUUUCUGAUGUCUGUGCUGAGGGUUAGAGAACUUGACUGAAAUGUAAAUAGUUUCCUGUGUGGUUUCUCAUUUCCCUAGAAUCAGAAAACGUGAAGCACAAACAGAACUGGUGUCAAGACUACCACAAGCGCGAUCCUCCUUUUGAAUGUAUAAGCAAAUGGUGGUGCAUUUAUAAUGACUUGCAGGAAAUACUCUGGAGAAUGAGUUUGUUAGUGAAAACCUGAUAGGAGAAGCAAGUAUUAACAGAUGGCACACUUUUACUUGUGAAUGUGACUGUUCUCUGCAGUAAUCCUAUUGUUAGAGGGGCACUUGCCCUCACUGGAUUCAUAUGGGAAUGGCACAUGCAACACACAUGUCAAGCAUCACACAGUACCUAAUUCUGAGUCCUGACUUCAGAAAGAGCUGGACAGGAGUGGCCACCUCCACUUUUAGCAGGUAGCGAAGCUCAUGCAUGUCGUGUGCAGCUACAGGUUCAAUGCCGGGACAUAUGCAUGCUCACUCCCCUCUCUUGAUUGUAUCAGGACAUCUUGCUUCCAUAUGGUGCCCCAGACAACAUGGGAUGCUGGGAGCUCUCUCAUUUGGGUUGGAGAGAGGAUGAUGCUGUCACUUUAAACCACAAAAGCAAUCUUUUUCAGUGUUACAUGGUGGGUGAGUGCUCCUUUCUGACAGGAGGGCAAGCAGCAAGCUGUGUCUAGAUAUACUGAAAACGCAUUCGUUUACUGAAAGGAAAAGCUCUGACUCAGCUUUUGCAAUGUGAUAAAUAUUUGGUUGUCACAUUACCUAACCUGGAGAAGAUUCCAUCUCUUUCUGGGAACCAAGGCAAUGGGAAAAAUGUCAAAAAAUAAUUGUUUUAAGCAGGAAAACAAAGUAAAAUUCUUCUCACUGAGAUUGUUUCUGGCAAGAAUAUUAACU